Long non-coding RNA from Lactuca sativa (garden lettuce), 2169 nucleotides. RefSeq lists it as uncharacterized. NCBI's taxonomy places the organism in Eukaryota, Viridiplantae, Streptophyta, Magnoliopsida, Asterales, Asteraceae. The record is from RefSeq and is a predicted model, not a curated record.
ACUUAAAAAUAGGGGUAUGAAGCUCACCUUGAGUUAGUUGAUGAGUUAGUUGGAGUGAUGGGGUGAAGAUCUCAAGCCUAGACUCUUGGAUGAGUUGAGGAACUUCCUUAAGAGGAAUGUUGUCCUAAGAGUUUUUCUUACACACUAUUAUGGGAAUUUAUCUUGAAAACUAUAUAAAAUACUAGAUGAGUGGAAAAACUUACUUAAAAGCUCUACGAAAAACUUGAGAAGUUAAGCCUUUAGCAAGAUCCUUGUUCUUACUUUCGAGAGAAGUAUUGGAGAGAAAAUGACAGAAGUGGGAGAAAUGGUGAAGUUUAAAACUCUCCCACUGUCGUUGCUUUAAGGGGAUAAAGGAAAAAGAGGGGGUAGGUGCAUGGAAAUCUAUUGGUUCAAACAUUGUUAUUUGGUUGAUAUUGCAUGGAUUACUGUGAAUUGCAUGGGAAACGGAAGAUUACAUCAAAUCAUAAAGUCAAACCCUCUUAUCCCUUUAUAGUUUAAAUUAAUCCCUUUAUGAUUUUCAAAAAUUAUUUUUUGUAAAUAUGCUUUAAUUAUUCAAAUUUGGCAUAAAAUAGAGGUUUAAGGGGUCUAAGUUAUGAAAAACACGAGUUUGGUGGGAUUCCUGACGUCAAAAUACCUUAACAUGAAGAAAAGGUCUGAAAUGGUCUAAAAUCCGUAGCCAAAUAGUGAGUUCCGAAGACACUUGGUGAGUUCCGAAGUUCAUCUCAUGUUCCGGAGUGGGUUCAAGAGGUUUCGGAGUCAAUUCAAAAUUUCCAUAGUCAAUCCCUUAGUUCCAAAGUCGGCUCUUAUCCAAAAUCACUUCCUUCUGAGGCUGCAAGGGUUCCGAGUCUACAAGGCGUCUGGUCCGAAGUUGCGAAACCUUCCAGAGCGGGUUCGGUCCGGAGCAUGGGAGGCAUUCCGGAGUAAAACAAGAGGUUCCGAAAUAAGACUAUCCCGGAGCGAGAUUGUCCGGGUGGGAGGGUCCGAAGCUUCCUAAAGGUUCCGAACUGGGCUUGCUCUUUCAUGUUUUCUACUUUCGUUUUGAGUUGGUUUCGACUAAUAAAACUUCAUAGGACGAUUUGAGAGAGAUUUGGGAUACAUAGAGAGAUUUGGGAGAGAUUUGAGAUACAUAGAGAGAUUUAGGAAAGAUUUAAGAUACAUAGACGCCUUGCAUUAUAACAAUACACGGUUCAUUAGGAACUAUAAUGUAAAAUUUAACAUGUUAGUAUAAGCCUUAUAAUAGUUGAUGUUUACAUAAGGACAUAAUUUCCUAGCUAAAAAUACUAGUUGUGACAGUUGAGCGUACUGGAGUGGUACGCAGGGUGUAUGCACUCUUGUUGGGUUUGGGCUUUGUGUGGGCUUGUAAGCUUAUUGGGCCUUAUUCAUUUUUGGUCCCGGUCCCAUUUAGAGUUUUGGACAAAUUCUGAUUUGGGCCAUAGUUGUUUUAGUUGGGCCUUAUUGGGCCAUGUGGUCCAUUAAUGGCUUUUUAUCUUAGAUCUUAGGCCCAUUAGCAAAGGAAAGACUUUUGGUCCACUAUGGAAGGACUUAGGCUUAGGUGUUUAGACUCUUUGAUUAUGUUGUGUUAUAAUCCUAAUUUAGGGUUAGUUGUAUCAUUAUUCAGUGUGUGGUUUCAGAUUGUUAGGCGAACAGCUUUUGUGUUCAGCAGACUGAGGUGAGUCAUCUCACUACACUCAUGGGUCAAAGGCACCAAGGCCGGCCCAUUAAUUGAUAUGAGAUGAUUAGUAAUGGAGUAUGAAAUGGUUUGCUAUUUGAUCUAUAUAUGGACUUCUGUGAAGACCAUGAGAAGAGUCCAUGUCACUUGGCAAGACCAUGGGAGGAGCCCAUGGCUCGGGGAUACAAGACCAUGGGGGUAGCCCAUGACGUUCCAAAUGAAGACCAGGAAGGGAGUCCAUGGCAAACUUAUAUGUACUUCUAAUUCUAAGGGCAAGAGUCUGGCUUGAUAGCGUGGUGUGCAUUCUCCAGUAUUUUUGCAUUUAGUUUUGAUACUCUGAUCUUUUAAAAAACUAUGGUCAUGUAAUGGGAUUUUUGGAAACAAUUGUGGUUGGUAUGUUUGAUUAUGAGAGUUAAAAUUUUCUGUAAAAUUUGGGCUGUUACACUAUGUGUAUUAUUUAUAUAAGAAAUUUUAUAUAAAGGUAUAAGUUAUUAUAUAAA